GUGUUUGUCGUCUAGUGGUAGGACCUCAACCUGUGGAGUUGAUUACCUGAGUUCAAUUCUCAGCAAACACCCA
This 73-nucleotide transfer RNA is filed under the name sediment metagenome. Its description in RNAcentral is "tRNA-His". It matches the Rfam family "tRNA". From Rfam's summary of the family: Transfer RNA (tRNA) molecules are approximately 80 nucleotides in length. Their secondary structure includes four short double-helical elements and three loops (D, anti-codon, and T loops). The record is from RNAcentral.